CAGUCGCCGCGGGAAUACGGAGGGUGCAAGCGUUAAUCGGAAUUACUGGGCGUAAAGCGCACGCAGGCGGUCUGACAAGUCAGAUGUGAAAUCCCCGGGCUUAACCUGGGAACUGCAUUUGAAACUGUCAGGCUGGAGUCUUGUAGAGGGGGGUGGAAUUCCAGGUGUAGCGGUGAAAUGCGUAGAGAUCUGGAGGAAUACCGGUGGCGAAGGCGGCCCCCUGGACAAAGACUGACGCUCAGGUGCGAAAGCGUCGGGAGCAAACAGGAUUAGAGACCCCGGUAGUCCCUGUCUCUUAUAA
Molecule: ribosomal RNA, 301 nt
Filed under: uncultured bacterium
Lineage: Bacteria
Description: partial 16S ribosomal RNA
Rfam family: Bacterial small subunit ribosomal RNA
Source: RNAcentral